GCAGGGCUGCUCUCUCAGAAGCACCAGGGAGGAUCCAUCCUGCCUCUUCCAGCUCCCAGGGGCUCCAGGGGUUCCUUGGCUGGUGACGGCACCACACCAUCCUCUGCCUUCUGUGCACACAGGCUUCUCCUCAACUCUCUCUUCCACUUAUAAAAGGGUCUUGCUCUAUCACCCAGGCUGGAGUGCAGUGGUGCGAUCUCAGCUCACUGCAACCUCCACCUCCUGGGCUCACACAAUCCUCCCUCCUCAGCAUCUGGAGUAGCUGGGACUACAGGUCAGUCCUCUGGGCUCCAUCUAUAAAACAAAUGUUUGUCAUCCUCUGGGUACCAUAGCACAUCUAACAAACAGAGGCAGGCAAUUCCUGGAGGUUCUUGAGUCUGUUCACCAGAACCAGGGCCCCAGCGGCAGAGGCCUCCCAGGAGGUCCACAUCGUGUAAGACACGAACUCAGGUCUUUUCAUCUCAUCCAUCGACAGCCCAGAACAGAGUUAAUUUUGCCCAUUGUACAAAGGGUAAAACCCAAAUUCAGAGAAAUUGACUGGCCUGCCCAGCUGGGAGGAGUCUGAGCUGGCUUCCGUUCACACGUGUCUCACUGAGAACACCAACCCACACCCUGACUGAAGGGCUGGUCCAAGCCUACUUGUUGGGUGUUUGCUCACUGCCCUCCUUCUCCCUGUCCGCUCUUCCCUUCGUGGACAGAAGCCAGAGUUCAGAGAGGAUCCCCAGGGACACACAGCCAGGCAAGGAGGGAGUUCACCCCAACUGCUGCCUUCUGUCCAGGGCCUCUCUGCCCCAACCCCACAGCCCGCCACCUUCAUGUAGCCAGGACUGUGGGUAACGCACUAAACACGUGAUUAGCAUUUAUUAUGGCUUCAUUUCAUAGACACAGGACAAUGAACAGAGCCAUAAACAGGGAGAACAACAAUGGAAUCAAGAAAAUAUGGCACUUUAAAGAAUAGUUUAUGAGUUGAACAAAAGGAAAACUCUAGUCUUCCACUCUGGGAUAUUGAGUAGUGCUCCUAGGGCUCUUUGGACUAUAAAGCAUUAUUGAACUGUUCCUGCAAUGCAAAGUGUACAAGAUGGUCAUAAUUAAGAACAAUUGAUUCAAUCUUUUUGCUAAACCUCAGGGUAAGAAUAUAAACUAGUCAUAAUGGAAAAAUGCCAGAUCCAAGGUGACCUGAGCCAAGAUGAUCAUUGCAAGAAUACAGGAACCAUUGCAGUGGAGGUGACACACACAGCAUGGAGUGACAAUACUCAACCAUCACAGCGGAGGUGUCACAGCAUGGAGUGACAAUACACAACCAUUACAGCAGAGGUGACACACACAAUGGAGUGACGGCACGUGCACAACCAUCACAGUGGAGGUGACGCACACAGCAUGGAGUGACAAUACUCACACAACCAUUACAGCAGAGGUGACACACACACAAUGGAGUGACGGCACGUGCACAACCAUCACAGUGGAGGUGACGCACACAGCACGUUAGAAGACCUCCAGGUGCCGGUCGCUGGGCUCACAUCUGAUCUAAUGAAGAGCAAAGCAGACACAAGUCGCUGCCCAGGUUGUUUUGCCACCUAGAGAGGGGUGGACUCUAACCACAAAAGUCACACCUGUGAUUCAAAGACACCUGUGUCAGGCUGCACCCACGAGCAGUGUCAGGUGCGGCUGCUGUGGGGGCAGGUGCCAGGUAAUCUGCCUCCAGAGCUAGUGUCAACUGUGUCUGGGUUCAGUGGACGAGCAGAUUCAAACCAGGCUAUGGAAACCACCAAACAACAUGGUGCCUGGAAACAGAAGGGUGUGUUCAGCCGAGGGGCGUCUGCCCUGGAGCUCCCCAGACCCUCAGGAGCUGACUCUCUGGUAAGUCACAACAGGGACUCAGAACUCGCUGUGGGGCUAAACCUCGUGCCUGCCUUUCACAGGAUGACAAGGCCACCUCCACCCACUCACCCACUGUCCCUCACAGGGCCACCACAGAGCAAGAUGACCGUGCCUUCGGCCCUCUGUCCACUGGCCAGGGCCAGCAUGAAUGGAGGUGAGGCCACAGGGGGCAAGCUUCUUAGGACACCAAGUGCUGAGAAAAUGACUCGCUGAAGACUGUUAGGAAAGAGGAUCUCUAGAGUCUGGGAGAAAGCACAGGAAGCCACUGUGGCGGGGGCCAGCCGUGGGCCAGGCCGCAGUGUACUGAGACAUGGCUAACAACUGGCUCCUGUGGUGAGGGGUGGACGGUCGUGCAGUCAUCCCCAAUAGUCCUGGUACAAUUGCUCUCACCAUGGCCAAUUCCCAGCUACAAAUGUCACAUCAACUGUUGCAGGAUUCCGGGAUAUUUAACAACAGGCUCUCUGGAGCGGUACUAGCCGGCCCCAGCACUGCACCCUCCCAGGACUCUGGCUUCUGAGGAAGCCUGGUCCACAGAAAUCUACAGUUGUAAUGGAACCUCAAAGCAGGUCCCUCCGCGUGGUAGGGUCCGGUCACUGCAGUCAGCUUGCUGCAGGCCUACAGGAGUUCUGAGCCCCAAAGUGUCCACCCCACCAGUAGGAAUCAAGCCUUCCUCCAAACACUUGGUUUAUCACAUUGCAUAGGAAGCACCUGAUAGGUUCAAGAUCUGUGUUCAACCAGAAAGCCACACACUCAAGCUGAACUCAUGCUCCCAGGAGCCCCCAGAGGCCAGGACAUGCCCUCCCCACAGUCUGGGGGACAGGAGAAAGUGCACGCGUGCUGGAACGUCAAGCACCACAUGGCACAGGGAGGGGAGAAGGGGGCCAGGGAAUGUGGGGCUUGGCCCUGGCCCAGAUCUUAGAUAAUGGGCAGGCACCCGGCAGGGAAGACAAAGCAGAAAGGGCAUUUCUAGGUGAAUGAGAAGCUGAGCAGGCAAAGAUAUGACGGGGGGUCCCAGCAAGCGAGAAUGAAACUGUAGAUUAGUGUGUGGAGCCCCAAACAGGCACGUAGGCAUGUGGGUGGCCUCGCACACUGGAGACCCUGGUGCCAGAAGAGGCAACUGCCAUCGAUGGGGCCCUGCUGUGAGCCACGUGCCAGGCCUUGUGGCUGCACACACCAUCCCACACACCCUCAGGGUUUACUGAGACAUCCUCCCGGUGUCCCCAGAAAAGGCCCAGGAGGCCAGGAGGUGGAGCUCUCGGGGGACAGAGCCAGGGCUCGUGGGCCUGUGGAGCACCUGGGAAGCCCUGAGGAGGACGUGGGGGCUGCAAGUGGAAAGCUUCUGUGGGAGCACAAAUCCUUGCCGAGCUCAGUGGAGCCGGGCUGUGAAUGUCACCUGUGGGUGGGUGUGUUCCCUGACACAGCCAGCCGCUCUCACAGCUGUCGCCUUGACCUGAAGUCCCCCCAGUUCCUCACCUGCUGCCAGGCUGAGCCUCAAGGACUCUUGUGAGACCUGGUGUCAUGGGGCAGAAGGCACGUAACCAUAACCUCCAGAUGCAUCAUGGAUGCCGAACGCACGUCGAUUGAUUGAGCAAAUAACUGCUGCGGCCACAAAGUACCAGAGAAGGAUGGGACUGUGCCUAGAUUUUCUGAAACAGAUCUAAAUUUUGCCAGGUGGCCAAGGUAGGCAGCAGUGGGGCUGUGGCAGGAAAGGCCAUCCUCGCCACCCAGACCCCACCGGCCUCACGUUCUGUUGUCGAAAGACACCUGCCUGCUUUGCGACUCCAUCUCCACUGAAACGGUCUCUGCAGUCAUUUGCAGGGAUCGGUCCAUUUCCCGUGAGCACCUACUUUAUUCCUCUCCCCAGAAACAUGAGGCCCAGCCCUGAACAAUCUUGCCACUUAUGUCACCCCACUGGUAUCUUCACCUUUAACAUACAUGCAGGAAAAAGACAGCCAGCAUGGAACACAGUUCAGCAGGGCCAGAGGAGCAGUGGCCUCAUCCCAGGACAUGCUGGGCAGGCACCACAGCGCUGGCGUCCCCAUGUCCAGGACAAAGCUGAGUGCAAGUGUCACCGUGAGGUGGCCUGUGUGAGCCCGGCCCGCUGACCCCCCCAGAUGAUAGAGAGCAGGAGACGCCUCUCAGCCAGGACUCAGACCACCAGCACGCAGCACCCAGCACCCACAGCUGAGCAUGUGCCCUCGAGUAGAGAGGAGACCUUGGUAUGGAGGGGACAAUGAUGUGACAGCCACCAAGUCCAUGGUCUGACCCCCCAGCAGCAGGGGUGCCAGCCUCAUUGUGGAGUCUUGCAGCAUGUGGGGAAAUGAUUUUAUUUUCCUAAUCACUGCUAACAGUUGGGCGCUAAUAAGCCCCCAGUUCGGGUUCCAUUGGUGACAUUUCAGUUUAUACAUCACUGUCAUUUGGGGUGAAUAAGUCCAAGCCACUUAAACCUCAGGCUCACAUUGAUUAGAGACUUCCCCCCAGGUCCCAA
This 4366-nucleotide long non-coding RNA is filed under the name Pongo abelii (Sumatran orangutan). RNAcentral describes it as "lincRNA". Lineage: Eukaryota; Metazoa; Chordata; Mammalia; Primates; Hominidae. The record is from RNAcentral.